GACGAACGCUGGCGGCGUGCUUAACACAUGCAAGUCGAACGAAGAGCGAUGGAAGCUUGCUUCUAUCAAUCUUAGUGGCGAACGGGUGAGUAACGCGUAAUCGACCUGCCCUUCAGAGGGGGACAACAGUUGGAAACGACUGCUAAUACCGCAUACGAUCCAACCUCGGCAUCGAGGAAAGAUGAAAGGUGGCCUCUAUGAAUAAGCUAUCACUGAAGGAGGGGAUUGCGUCUGAUUAGCUAGUUGGAGGGGUAACGGCCCACCAAGGCGAUGAUCAGUAGCCGGUCUGAGAGGAUGAACGGCCACAUUGGGACUGAGACACGGCCCAGACUCCUACGGGAGGCAGCAGUGGGGAAUCUUCCGCAAUGGACGAAAGUCUGACGAAGCAACGCCGCGUGAGUGAUGACGGCCUUCGGGUUGUAAAGCUCUGUUAAUCGGGACGAAAGGCCUUCUUGCGAAUAGUUAGAAGGAUUGACGGCACCGGAAUAGAAAGCCACGGCUAACUACGUGC
Molecule: ribosomal RNA, 511 nt
Filed under: uncultured Veillonella sp.
Lineage: Bacteria; Bacillati; Bacillota; Negativicutes; Veillonellales; Veillonellaceae
Description: bacterial SSU rRNA
Rfam family: Bacterial small subunit ribosomal RNA
Source: RNAcentral